RNAcentral lists this ribosomal RNA (346 nucleotides) under uncultured prokaryote. Its description in RNAcentral is "partial 16S ribosomal RNA". The record is from RNAcentral.
CCCUAUGGGGUGCACCAGGCCAAAAAUAAGAAGGUGGCCUUCUUGGCGAAUCGGCUGCAUCUGGUGGAUCAAACAUGCAGGCGGCUGGCUGAGGCUGGUUUCGAGUUCGGAGUGAUCCAGGGCGAAAACACCAUGUCUCCCUGGCGCUCUGUCCUGGUGUGCAGCAUCCAAUCUGUAGCCAGCCGGGGGCUCCCGGAUGUGGAUCUCCUGGUGAUCGAUGAGGCCCAUGCCUGUGCGGGGACCAAGGCAUACCGAAAGGUCAUGGAAGGCAAGCCCUGCAUCGGCCUGACCGCCACACCCUAUUCAAAGGGCCUGGGAAAGCACUAUCAGGAAUUGGCGGGGGGGC